GACGAACGCUGGCGGCGUGCCUAAAACAUGCAAGUCGAACGAGCCCUUCGGGGCUAGUGGCGAACGGCGGAGUAAGACGUGAACAACGUGCCCCUAAGUCUGGGACAAACGCAGAAAUGCCAUGAAUACCAGAUGUGACCGGGAGAGGACAUCCUCUUCCGAUUAAAGGCUUUUCGCUUAGGGAGCGGUUCACGGCCUAUCAGCUAGUUGGUGGGGUAAAGGCCUACCAAGGCGACGACGGGUAGGGGUCNGAGAGGAUGAUCCCCCCGAGUGGGACGU
This 279-nucleotide ribosomal RNA is filed under the name uncultured bacterium. RNAcentral describes it as "partial 16S ribosomal RNA". It matches the Rfam family "Bacterial small subunit ribosomal RNA", at positions 28 to 321 of the family's 1533-position model. The record is from RNAcentral.